This 492-nucleotide ribosomal RNA is filed under the name uncultured bacterium. RNAcentral describes it as "partial 16S ribosomal RNA". It matches the Rfam family "Bacterial small subunit ribosomal RNA", at positions 29 to 507 of the family's 1533-position model. The record is from RNAcentral.
AGUGAACGCUGGCGGUAGGCCUAACACAUGCAAGUCGAACGGCAGCACAGUAAGAGCUUGCUCUUACGGGUGGCGAGUGGCGGACGGGUGAGGAAUACAUCGGAAUCUACUUUUUCGGGGGGGAUAACGUAGGGAAACUUACGCUAAUACCGCAUACGACCUACGGGGGAAAGCAGGGGAUCUUCGGACCUUGCGCGAUUGAAUGAGCCGAUGUCGGAUUAGCUAGUUGGCGGGGUAAAGGCCCACCAAGGCGACGAUCCGUAGCUGGUCUGAGAGGAUGAUCAGCCACACUGGAACUUGGCCACGGUCCAUACUCCUACGGGAGGCCGCAGUGUGGAAUAUUGGACAAUGGGCGCAAGCCUUAUCCAGCCAUACCGCGUGGGUUAAGAAGGCCUUCGGGUUGUAAAGCCCUUUUGUUGGGAAAGAAAAGCAGCAGGUUAAUACCCCGCUGUUCUGACGGUACCCAAAGAAUAAGCACCGGCUAACUUCGUG